This 306-nucleotide unclassified non-coding RNA is filed under the name plant metagenome. RNAcentral's name for it is "partial contains 5.8S ribosomal RNA, internal transcribed spacer 2, and large subunit ribosomal RNA". The stretch from base 1 to 105 matches the Rfam family "5.8S ribosomal RNA", at positions 50 to 154 of the family's 154-position model. The record is from RNAcentral.
GAAAUGCGAUAAGUAAUGUGAAUUGCAGAAUUCAGUGAAUCAUCGAAUUUUUGAACGCACAUUGCGCCCGCCAGUAUUCUGGCGGGCAUGCCUGUCCGAGCGUCAUUUCAACCAUCAAGCCCCCGGGCUUGUGUUGGGGACCUGCGGCUGCCCGCAGGCCCUGAAAACCAGUGGCGGGCUCGCUGUCACACCGAGCGUAGUAGCAAUCACCUCGCUCAGGGCGUGCUGCGGGUUCCGGCCGUUAAACAGCCUUACAAAACCCAAGGUUGACCUCGGAUCAGGUAGGAAGACCCGCUGAACUUAAGC